Molecule: ribosomal RNA, 94 nt
Filed under: Amolops mantzorum (Kangting sucker frog)
Lineage: Eukaryota; Metazoa; Chordata; Amphibia; Anura; Ranidae
Source: RNAcentral
ACGCCCGAUCUCGUCCGAUCUCGGAGGCUAAGCAGGGUCGGGCCUGGUUAGUACCUGGAUGGGAGACCGCCUGGGAAUACCAGGUGCUGUAGGC